RNAcentral lists this ribosomal RNA (446 nucleotides) under uncultured bacterium. RNAcentral describes it as "partial 16S ribosomal RNA". It matches the Rfam family "Bacterial small subunit ribosomal RNA", at positions 338 to 795 of the family's 1533-position model. The record is from RNAcentral.
CCUACGGGUGGCAGCAGUCGAGAAUCAUUCACAAUGGGGGAAACCCUGAUGGUGCGACGCCGCGUGGGGGAAUGAAGGUCUUCGGAUUGUAAACCCCUGUCAUGUGGGAGCAAAUUAAAAAGAUAGUACCACAAGAGGAAGAGACGGCUAACUCUGUGCCAGCAGCCGCGGUAAUACAGAGGUCUCAAGCGUUGUUCGGAAUCACUGGGCGUAAGGGGUGCGGAGGCUGUUGCGUAAGUCGUGUGUGAAAGGCGCGGGCUCAACCCGCGGACGGCACAUGAUACUGCGAGGCUAGAGUAAGGGAGGGGGAAGCGGAAUGCUCGGUGUAGCAGUGAAAUGCGUAGAGAUCGAGAGGAACACUCGUGGCGAAGGCGGGUUCCUGGACAGUAACUGACGCUGAGGCACGAAGGCCAGGGGAGCGAAAGGGAUUAGAUACCCUUGUAGUC